CGCCAGCAGCCGCGGUAAUACGGAGGGGGCGAGCGUUGUUCGGAUUUACUGGGCGUAAAGGGUGUGUAGGCGGCUGGGCAAGUCUGGUGUGAAAUCUUCACCGCUCAACGGGAAGAGGUCACUGGAAACUGCCUAGCUCGAGUAUGGUAGAGGCAAGCGGAAUUCCUGGUGUAGCGGUGGAAUGUGUAGAUAUCAGGAAGAACACCGGUGGCGAAGGCGGCUUGCUGGGCCAUCACUGACGCUGAGACACGAAAGCGUGGGGAGCAAACGGGAUUAGAUACCCCGGUAGUCCACGCUGUAAACGGUGCGCACUAGGUGUGAGGGGUAUCGACCCCCCUUGUGCCGCAGUUAACACAUUAAGUGCGCCGCCUGGGGAGUACGGCCGCAAGGUUGAAACUUAAAGGAAUUGGCGGGGG
This 416-nucleotide ribosomal RNA is filed under the name uncultured bacterium. RNAcentral's name for it is "bacterial SSU rRNA". It matches the Rfam family "Bacterial small subunit ribosomal RNA", at positions 506 to 919 of the family's 1533-position model. The record is from RNAcentral.